GGGGUUGACUGGAUUUGACGGCGAGAUGAAAUGGUACGUAAGCACGCGGAGCGGAGACUGUAGGCUCCAUAAUCACUUCGGUCGAAAAAUUAAUUGGCAACAACGAGUAUGCUCUCGCUGCCUAAUCGAAGCAUAGUAGAUUACUGGCUUAAUUCCGUCACAAGGUGACAGAACGAGACGUCGCUCCAAGGAUGUGGUUCCGAAUCUGAGGAUCAAGCGGCGCAGGUUAAAUCGGAAAUAGUCGUGUCAGGCUCCGAUGAUGCGAUGAAAUCUUAGGAGAUAAGGUUGCGGUUGGUGGUUCAGGUCUUGCCGCAGCACGAAAACGAAGGCUGAAAUAAGCGUGUAGAAAGCGUAUGGUUUCCUUGUGCGGACGAGGGUUCGACUCCCUCCAGCUCCACA
This 399-nucleotide transfer-messenger RNA is filed under the name uncultured Prevotella sp. It matches the Rfam family "transfer-messenger RNA". From Rfam's summary of the family: Bacterial tmRNA, also known as 10Sa RNA or SsrA, is named for its dual tRNA and mRNA-like properties. The record is from RNAcentral. Lineage: Bacteria; Pseudomonadati; Bacteroidota; Bacteroidia; Bacteroidales; Prevotellaceae.